Molecule: ribosomal RNA, 512 nt
Filed under: uncultured bacterium
Lineage: Bacteria
Description: bacterial SSU rRNA
Rfam family: Bacterial small subunit ribosomal RNA
Source: RNAcentral
GGGUGAGUAACGCGUAAGGAACUUGCCUCUUGGUCUGGGACAACUGUUGGAAACGACAGCUAAUACCGGAUAUUAUGAGAUUCUCGCAUGGGAAACUUAUGAAAGCUAUAUGCGCCAAGAGAGAGCCUUGCGUUCCAUUAGCUAGUUGGUGGGGUAACGGCCCACCAAGGCGACGAUGGAUAGCCGGCCUGAGAGGGUGAACGGCCACAAGGGGACUGAGACACGGCCCUUACUCCUACGGGAGGCAGCAGUGGGGAAUAUUGGACAAUGGGCCACAAGCCUGAUCCAGCAAUUCUGUGUGCACGAUGAAGGUCUUCGGAUUGUAAAGUGCUUUCAGUUGGGAAGAAGAAAGUGACGGUACCAACAGAAGAAGCGACGGCUAAAUACGUGCCAGCAGCCGCGGUAAUACGUAUGUCGCAAGCGUUAUCCGGAUUUAUUGGGCGUAAAGCGCGUCUAGGCGGAAAAAUAAGUCUGAUGUUAAAAUGCGGGGCUCAACUCCGUAUUGCGUUGGA